RNAcentral lists this ribosomal RNA (429 nucleotides) under bacterium. RNAcentral describes it as "partial 16S ribosomal RNA". It matches the Rfam family "Bacterial small subunit ribosomal RNA", at positions 355 to 776 of the family's 1533-position model. The record is from RNAcentral.
UAGGGAAUCUUCGGCAAUGGGGGCAACCCUGACCGAGCAACGCCGCGUGAGUGAAGAAGGUUUUCGGAUCGUAAAGCUCUGUUGUAAGAGAAGAACGUGUGUGAGAGUGGAAAGUUCACACAGUGACGGUAACUUACCAGAAAGGGACGGCUAACUACGUGCCAGCAGCCGCGGUAAUACGUAGGUCCCGAGCGUUGUCCGGAUUUAUUGGGCGUAAAGCGAGCGCAGGCGGUUUAAUAAGUCUGAAGUUAAAGGCAGUGGCUUAACCAUUGUACGCUUUGGAAACUGUUAAACUUGAGUGCAGAAGGGGAGAGUGGAAUUCCAUGUGUAGCGGUGAAAUGCGUAGAUAUAUGGAGGAACACCGGUGGCGAAAGCGGCUCUCUGGUCUGUAACUGACGCUGAGGCUCGAAAGCGUGGGGAGCAAACAGG